AACGUCGGUUUACCUUUUCUUUGCCGAUUUCUCCAAUCUCUCGCCGUCGCUGCCCAAUAAUCCUCCAAUUCUUUCUCAUAUAAAAACACUCCUCACCAUGUUUUUACUCUAGUACGGAGUAGUAUUUAUUGGAAGCAUUCAAUCUUUACUCAAUCCAGCUUGAUUUUUCUUUCGGUGACAAACCCUUAACAUCAGGAAGCUAUAAUUCUGCCAAUUCGAUUACUGAUGUCGAGCUCGAAUUCGUCUUUGCUGGCAUCGCCAACCCAAGGAGCCGAUCAAUCAAAGAACUCGAUUGCAAAUCCAUCCAUGCCUACUCAGCAUCAGAGUCGGGGUUCCCUGCACGUGCCUGUGGCAAUCCUUUGGGACAUUGAGAACUGUCCCGUGCCAAGUGAUGUAAGGCCCGAGGACGUGGCUGGUAACAUCAGGAUGGCUCUGCGGGCUCAUCCUCUUAUUGAUGGAGUGGUCACUAUGUUUUCUGCCUAUGGGGAUUUCAAUGCUUUCCCCAGGCGGCUACGAGAAGGCUGCCAGAGAACUGGUGUCAGGCUCAUUGAUGUUCCAAACGGUCGAAAGGACGCUGCUGAUAAGGCUAUCUUAGUUGAUAUGUUCCUUUUUGCUCUCGAUAACCCUCCACCGUCUCCCAUCAUGCUUAUAUCAGGAGAUGUUGAUUUUGCUCCGGCUCUUCACAUUCUAGGUCAGAGAGGAUACACUGUCAUCCUAGUUAUACCCUCUGGAGUUGGUGUCUCGUCUGCUCUGAGUAAUGCUGGGAGGUUUGUUUGGGAGUGGCCUAGUGUUGCUCGUGGGGAAGGCUUUGUGCCACCCGCCAAGGGGUUGAAACCGCCUUGUGUAGGUACUGCAGAAGUUACCGGGCUUCUAAAGGGAUGUCAGGUCAAUGAUGGUGUUGAAGGCCAUAAUGAAGAAGAAUCAAUAGUGUAUCAGGGAGCUUCAGGAGGCUGUUAUAGUAAUACGAAAGAAGUUCCAGUCGUGUCACAGUCUCUAUCUGAAUAUAGUAGUAGUUCAGUAGUAAAGCUCCAAAAUCCCAUGAGUGGAAGAUCACACAGUCCUCCAUGUGGAUUUAACGAAGCUUCAGCGGGAACACCUGUUAAUUGUGAGCAACAAGACGUGAUGUGGGUGCAGCCGGGAGAUCUCGUUGGUUUGAAGUUACAAUUGGUAAAGUUACUUGAAUUGUUCGGUGGCUAUUUGCCCUUAACUCGUCUUCCAGCAGAGUACCAGAAGAUGUACGGCCGGCCUCUGUAUGUUUCUGAAUAUGGUGCUGUUAAACUCGUAAAUCUCCUGAAAAAGAUGGUUGGUUCAAUCAGUGUCGAGGGGAAGGGACAGAGGAAGACUGUCUGCCUCCGUAACCCAAAGCCCGAAUCAGUUGGUCCUACGCCCACAGUGAUUUUAGCUAGGCGGGAUAAGAAAGGAAAAUCGUCCAUGGAAGAUAACCUUAACAUAAUGGCUGGAACUUGUUCUUCAGAUGAGUUGUCAGAUGAGGAAAGGACGGCUAUUGAGGAAAACGGUGGUAAGAGGGGAGGAGGAGAGAAAUUUAGCUUUGAGACUACAAAUGAGUCACAGGCUAUUGAUAACCUUAAAAGGUUUAGAUACGAGCUUCAAGACAUCUUGGUAAGCUACUCUUGUCAAAUUUUUCUUCAAAGCUUUGAGACAAUAUAUCAUCAACGAUACAAAAGACAACUCGAUUAUACGAACUUUGGAGUGAGCCAUCUAGGAGAGCUUCUUGAUAAGGUGAGAGAUAUCGUGGUGGUGCAGGUGGAUCCGGUAAGUAAAAGGGAAUUUAUGAUUGCUAAUGGUGCAUAGUUGAAACAUUUUGUUACACGGCCGGGCCUAGUUUCCCUCCGGCUGCUAUCGGAGAAGUGCAUACAAGUGAAUAGUGGCGGCAUAUUGACACCGGAGAAAUGAGAGACGGAACCUGCUACGCGCUGUGGAAGCGUUUAGUUGUGCUCGAGAUGCAGAGCUGUUUGCCCGGGUUUCUGUUCCGAGACCAUGCUCAUAUCUCAGUGGCAUAUUGGUAAUUUUAGUUGUGUCUGUAUCCAGAGGUGGGACACCCAGUUGCAGAAAGUAAUGAGAUUGUAAUAUUUUGAUUG
Non-coding RNA from Salvia hispanica, 2099 nucleotides. Lineage: Eukaryota; Viridiplantae; Streptophyta; Magnoliopsida; Lamiales; Lamiaceae. The record is from RefSeq and is a predicted model, not a curated record.